CUCUUCGGGAGCUAGUGGCGGACGGGUGAGGAACGCGUGAGAACCUGCCUCAGGGUCGGGUACAACAGUUGGAGACGACUGCUAAUACCGGAUGAGCCGAAUAGGUGAAAAGAUUUAUCGCCUAGAGAGGGGCUCGCGUCUGAUUAGCUAGAUGGUGAGGUAAAGGCUUACCAUGGCGACGAUCAGUAGCUGGUCUGAGAGGAUGAGCAGCCACACUGGGACUGAGACACGGCCCAGACUCCUACGGGAGGCAGCAGUGGGGAAUUUUCCGCAAUGGGCGAAAGCCUGACGGAGCAAUACCGCGUGAGGGAAGAAGGCUCUUGGGUUGUAAACCUCACNACUUAGAGGAAGAAAAAGCCUGACGGUACCUAAUGUACUCAUCGGCUAACUCCGUGCCAGCAGCCGCGGUAAUACGGAGGAUGCAAGCGUUAUCCGGAAUCAUUGGGCGUAAAGAGUCCGUAGGUGGCCUUCAAGUCUGCUGUCAAAGACCGAAGCUCAACUUCGGAAAGGGAGUGCAAAUGAAGAGCUGCAGUAUAGUAGGGGUAGAGGGAAUUCCCUAGUGUA
Molecule: ribosomal RNA, 564 nt
Filed under: Synechocystis aquatilis ISB33
Lineage: Bacteria; Bacillati; Cyanobacteriota; Cyanophyceae; Synechococcales; Merismopediaceae
Description: bacterial SSU rRNA
Rfam family: Bacterial small subunit ribosomal RNA
Source: RNAcentral